GGCAUUAACUUAACGAAUUAGGCGAGUAUGGUGGUCUAUUUAUAUGAUUCUGCUAAGCUGUUGAUAAUCCACGUUGCACCUUACUUAUCUUAAUUCUUGUAUACCGUUGUUUACGAAUAUAUUUUUAGAUUAUUUUCUGAAUAUAUAAAAAAUUCUAAUUUAAAAUCAAGGUGCAAUACUUUUAAGUUGAAUAGAGGAUUACAAAAAAUUGAAUUUAUAUGGAUAAUUAGUGGAAUAUUAAUUUAAUGGUGGAUUUUAAGUUGUAAAGUAAAGAUUAAUAAAUUGAAUUUAUGCUCUAAAAUAUGCACACGGCGC
RNAcentral lists this ribosomal RNA (315 nucleotides) under Hicetia sp. MN502. Its description in RNAcentral is "partial 12S ribosomal RNA". The record is from RNAcentral. Lineage: Eukaryota; Metazoa; Arthropoda; Insecta; Mantodea; Mantidae.